GUACCACUAGGCAGGGGCCAGGCCGUGCGGGCGCCCAUCGAAAGGGCCCUGGCCGGUGCAGGCUGCCUGCUGACUCGAGCCCUCCCCGCAGGCAGACGGGCCUCGUGCUGGCUGCAGAGUUCCACUGGGCGCGGCUCCGGCACCGGGCCUGGGACAGGUGGAGGGAGGCGUACCAGAGCCAGGUGCGGAGCAUCCUCCAGGAGGCGGCGGCCAGGGAGCGGCGGCACAGGCGGCGGCGGCUGCGGUGAGUCCCCGGGCACCUGCGGGCCCUUCGGCAGCAAGCAGCCCGGCGUGGUUCACCUCGUGUCUCGCAGCCGCUGUGUGCGUGGGGCCUUGAGGCAGCUGUCAGCUGGACAUCUGCCAGAGCUGGCCCUCGUCUUGCUCCUCUCCCUGGACCCUCCCCAGCAAGCUUUGGUGUCUCCCCCUCCAGAGCUGCAGGGACCCCCUUUGUCUCAGCCCCCAGUCACUUGCCUCCCCGCCGCUUGGCUUUCCAGGCCUUUCACUGAUUCCAGAGACAUCUCUCACAGCCUUGGAGGUCAUGCGCUCUCUCAGCUCCAGCCCCAUCAUGAGCCCGUCCCCCAGCUUGUGCUAAACCAAGCUCUCACUCUCUCUUCCCGGCAGGCCUCCCUCGUUCCGUCUCUUCCUCCCCCUGGAUUUGUUCAGCACGUUGUAUCCCUGGCUGCCUGUGGGUAGUGGGCCUUGUGGACUCAACACCUCCACCCUCCUUCAGGGAAGUGUCCGUCCAGCUCCUCAGAGGGAGUAAGACAGACAGAGUGACGGAGCUAACUCCGCAGCAAGCACGGUGCUGGGGCUCCGGUGGCCUUCCGCUACCUUCCAUCUCUCUGUGCCUCGCUGUGGCUGGAUGCACCUGUACCGUCACUACCUGGUCACCGCUUUGUGCCCUCAGCACAUGCAUGCGCAAGGACCUGGUAUUUGGUCUUGUUCGCCGUGGUGCCCCCGGUGCUCCCCCGGUGCCCGGCACAGAGCAGGUGCUCACCAGCCGUGAGCGGAGUGUCUGUGUCGGCAUGACCCUGCCCAUUGGUGAGACAUAUUCUUAGGUACAAGGAGUCCAUCCUGGAUUGAGGAGUGGUCUGAAGCACCUGGAAUGACUCACAGAAACCUCCCACCAUCUCUCCGCACUGGUGUCACCCCUAUCUCUCCGGCCUGUGCUCCUGCAGGAGCGUGUUCCGUCGCUGGAGAGAGAACACCCUGGCCCGUGUGAAUGAAGCCAAGCAAACCUCCCGAGCAAGCGCUCACUACCGGCGAACCUUGUGUUCCAAGGUGAGGCAUGGAGAGACCAGCCG
This 1304-nucleotide long non-coding RNA is filed under the name Ursus americanus (American black bear). RNAcentral's name for it is "lncRNA (ENSUAMG00000008189.1)". Lineage: Eukaryota; Metazoa; Chordata; Mammalia; Carnivora; Ursidae. The record is from RNAcentral.